This is a long non-coding RNA of Dermacentor silvarum, 4951 nucleotides long. RefSeq lists it as uncharacterized. The record is from RefSeq and is a predicted model, not a curated record. The transcript is spliced from 2 exons. NCBI's taxonomy places the organism in Eukaryota, Metazoa, Arthropoda, Arachnida, Ixodida, Ixodidae.
CCCCCCCCCCCGAAAAAUAUUUCUGGCUACGGGCCUGAAUUUAGUAUUUCAUCCUCUACUUUCUCCGGUAUGGUGUCUUCUUGUAAUACCCAACUGCACUUGUAAAGCGUAAGAUUGCAUUGCUGCUCACAUUGAUUCGUUAAGUGCAAGUACCGUAACUAAUUAUAGGGUAACUUAUCACAUUACGCUGAUUAGCUUAUGGUUGCUUUUAACCAUGGAAUUUCACAGAUUACGCUACACUUCUUUUCAUGGUGACACAUUCCUGCUAAGCCUAGGAACAAUUGAAGUCGAGUUGCAGUCUUAAAAUCAGCUACUUUUUAUCACUUAAUAUUGACCCCACAAAACCCAAACAUCAUUCCACAUUGAAUAAAACUUAAAAAAAUAGAUCGCCUUUAUUUCUGGCCACGUAGGGACAUUCAUACCAAAAACAAUUAAAUGUUAUUUGACCUAAAACUAGUUAGUAUAUUAAUUAGUAAUUUGUUUGCUAAAUUAUUCACAACUCAAACUUUGCUCUAACAUGUCAAAAAUGCUGCUUUGGGUUUUGUUUUAAGUUUUCUGCACUUAGAUCAGCAUUUGUAGGUGUCAAACUCCCAAAAACUAUAACAUCGGGCUUUGUGGGGUUAAGGUUGAGUCAAGAUGAGGCAAACCAAAGGCCCAUUAGCAACCAUUUCCAGUGCGUGCAACACACAGUGUGGUGGAUGAUGGCAGUGACAUAUUGAGGAGAGUGCUUCUUCCAUAGUCUGAUUGUGCCAGCGUCAUGGUCACUCCUGACUUCAAGAAUGAUGGGUUCGUGGGUUUGUGGUUAGGAGUUAAGACAGAAACCAAUUGUACCUACCAGAGCCGGGUUAAUGUGACGAUUCUAUUCCAGCGAUAUUCAUUUUCACAAUUAGUUAUCUAAGUAGCACUGACUAAGUGCACAUUAUCAGCCGGCUGUGAAUGGUAAAUGAUAAAGAAAUAGAAUUGAGCAAAAAGAAUCCUUACAUUAUACUGGUCUGGAAGCUAGACUGAGACACAUUUUAAGUUCUGAACUGCUUCUUGCUGAUAUGACACCAUUCUAGUGAAAAAAAAAAAAGAGAAAAAAAGCUGUGCUUUUAAUACUAGAGCGUUGACUUGGGCUAGCUGGUACACAUGGUGUAAUGUUACCAUAAAGAAAGUCCAAGUGCAAAUUUCUAGAAUGCCAUUUAUUUAGAAGGUAAUUCUCCUCAGAAAAAUUUUUGACGAGGACAUAUCACGGGGCGUCUUCUAUUAUCCGUCCCUGACAGCCCCGGAUUGUUCGAAGCAGUGCUUUCAGCCAAUAAGCGUUGCCUGUGCAGCUUCUCGGACAGUCCGGGACUGUCAGAGACGGAUAAUUGAAGAGGCCCACUAUGUCCUUGUCAGUAUGUUUGUUAUAACCAUUAACAUGACAAGAUUACUGCUUUGUUCAGACUACCAUGCUCCAGUGUGGUACAAUUAAGUGUAGGCUUGUUAUGCAUCUUUUUGCUGUGAAUACUGAAUACUGAGAUGAAGUAUAUAUAUAUCGGCAGUGCUGCUAGCAAGCCAGCAGCGAGCGCUCCAUGACAGUUCCAUGACAAUUUAUAUAAAUUUCUUUGUGGGUGUACGUAGUUUAUUCAGGUUCUGCCUUGCUCUUUUUCUCUUUAUUUUAAUUUUUCCCACAAUAUAGUAAAAUAUACCAAUAUUUCCAUUACCAUUUCAUCAACACCUGAAAGAAAAACUGCACCUCUGCAAAGAGUGGGCUGCAUACAACCUCACUGAAAAUGUGGCUUUUAUCUUUUUUAUUUUAUUACAGUCAAACCUUACUAUAUUGAAGUUGCAUCCGACAUGAAAAUACCUCCAUUACAUUCAAUAUAUUUGUUAAAGGCGUAUAUUUGUUAAACACUGAUGUUGGCAAAAAAAUUUCUUUAAAUAAUUUUGUUAUUUCCAAUAAAUUGUUAUAUCCAUGUUCGCUAUAUUCAGGUUCAACUGUAUUAUUAUUUUUCAAGUAAUACAUUUGUACUGCAUGCCCACAAAAAGGGAAGGAAGGAGCAAGAUAGCUUCCGAACUGAGUGCAGGCCUUGUUUGGUGCAGUGGCAGUGAUAGUACUGCAAGUUCAAAAUUCCUGCAGCCAUUCACGUGCUAUUUUAACAUAAUUGUGCUAAAAACAAAGUCAUUGACCAGCCACAUUCUUGUGUCAGAAAUGUUCAGAGCCAGCUCAUGCAUGGUAGUUACCGCACUGAGAAGAGAGCUACAGGAGGCUAAUUACUAAAGAAUGUGAAGUGGAAGCAUAGACAAUGGCAGUGGAAGCUGGGUGAUUCAGCAUGGCAAGUUCUACAACCAAGGCUAACCAUAGCUGCUUGGGCACAAAGUAUAAAGUGUAAAAGCAAGCGUGGCAUGAUAUUCGGUAGUAACGUUGGCAACACCAGUAAAGAUUCACAGCUUCCAACACGGUAAGACUGACAAAACGAUAUCAAAGGCCGUAAGCAUGGUAUAGGGCUUUUCUUAUUUUUAAUGCAGCUCCAUAUCGGAAAAAUUAUAAGAGGAGGUUUGCAAGGUAAUGCUCAUCAGCCCAGUCAAAACAUUUUGUUAUAUGCCGUAAGUUGUGAAGCACCAUUCAGAGAACUUUGUACCGCAAGAAUUUUUAGGUAGAAUUUGGUAGUAGACAAGAUGAAAGCAAAUGAAAUGUUGUGAGCCAAUGCCUCUACCAUGCCCACAGGCGAAUUUCCUUUCCUGCCUUCUCCCAUGCCAGAGCCGAGGGCUCAGGUGAUCUUCACAGCACGACCCCCACCUCUUUUCUUGUUGUGCAGUGCACUUCCAGGGGUGGUUUUGUGCACUCUGCACUUCAUGGCAAUCCCCGAGUUGUUUGCGCUGCUACUGGCUAUUUAUGUGCUGCAGGUAUUGGGUCUUUAAUACGGACGUGCCACACGUGCAUUGUUAUCUCUGCUAGCAGAGAGAUAGACUUCUCUGAGAAGGGGGGCAUGGAGCCUUUUGUUUGAAAUUUAGCUGUUUGCCGCAUACAUUGGUGUAAUACCUUGCAGCCAUGAUGGUCCCCACACUUUGUUUGUCUGUUUCCUAUGCUAAAACCUGGUGAGGGCAUAAGCAUUUUGCAACUUUAGUAUAAAGGGUUGCAGGCACCCUUAGAUUGAGCCCUGGACCACCCCCUUAAAAUUGCUGAUUUAACAUUCUGCAGGUAGAACAUGGAACUGGAACCUUUGAGCCAAGUUUUGUACUUAUAUAUGCAGCACAUAAGGUUAACAAAUGGCAUGUAACGACAGCUCCCCCUCAUUUUGAAGAAAGGGCCCCUCCUCACAAUUUUUAGAACUGCUGGCUGGCCGCCAGCUAAUGUUGUGUAGCAGCGGCCUACAGACACCAGCCAUUAGCAAAUGUUUUUGACUGCAAAUUGCUUGCACACAUUCCUAGCUUUCCAAAUCUAUCAAAAAUAACUGGGAAAUGGGGAAGUGAGAGUUGUUAACAUGCUCUACCUGUCUUGUUGCCACUGCUUUGUCACUUUCGAGCAGUGUUGUCAGAAACCCAUCUUAUGAGGUUACCAUAAGCACACUACAGAAAGCAAAAAACGAGAGAAAAAAAAAAUGCAGUAGGCAGGGCAUCGGUUACUGGCACCACCACCACUAAGGAGUAUGGAUGAGAUGAAAGAAAAUGGGGAAAGUAAACAUUGCACUUCUGAUUUUACCGUUUAUAUUAGGUCAUCAAAAAAUUUGUUCAAGUGUAUAUUCCUUGAAAGACACCACACUCGUCUGCAUGUGUUUCUAAGGUCUUGGGAAAGGGUGUUUUAGGGCCCUUUUAUGGAAUUUAUCAAGACAGAGCAUUUAUCAUUGGUUCUUAUCGACUUGUGUAGGCAACAAACUCUUUUUGGGUGCUGUGCUCAAGGUGUCUUGAUAAUGCUGACAUUAAGCACUUUUGAAAUGGCUUUCACAAAACAUGGGUAUCUGUUUAGACAAGUAAACAGGAUACAUUAGGUAGGCAAAAAAUAAUUCUCCUAAGACACAUUUUAUCCUUUUCUAAUUUUUAAAUAAGAACAUUGUCACCGUGCUGGACUUUGCAGGUCUUAAGCAUUUUUAAUACCAUAGUUGAACUGAUAAAAAAAAAAAAUACUUUGUUCGUUGUUCAAGUAUCAAGUUCAUUGCCAUGAUGUGCUCUUACUGUUUGUGUGUUGUGUUUUGCUUUGUGACUGACAGGAAUACUGUAAUGUUAAUCCUGAAUUUAAAGCAAGUCUUAUCUCAGUUGGAAAACAUAUUGUUCUGGACCAGAAAAGAUGUCAAACUGGGUGGAUAGUUUUAAAUUUCUGCUCAUGCUUUUAAAACAACCUUUUAUUUUCAGCCCUGCCCACUCCGCCUUCUCAUGUGUAAUAGGCUCAUAGCAUCAUAGCAUGUGCCAGUGGCUGUAAGAAUCGUGAUUAACAGCAAAAAAAAAAAAAAAAAAAAAAGAAGAAGAAGAAGAAGGAGACAAGGAAGAAAAUAGGGAUGACACCACUGUUGUCUUUCUACUGAAGGUUUAUUGUGCUCUGCCCACAUGUGGGAGGGAGCAAGUGCAGAACAAGAGGGUGAAGAAAGCUGUCAAGGGAAGUGUGUGUGCAUGAGCGUACUGAGAGAUUUUAUAUCCUAAAGGGCUUGGAAUACUUGAGGUCAGUGCCGCUUUAAAACCCCUUGAAUUAAAAAUUUGACCCUGUUGUAAAAUAUAUACAUAGCAAAAUUGACCUUGCUGCAGUGACCUCUGGCCUUUGCCGUUUUUGUUGACGGCCUGGUUCAUUAUGUGUGCUUCAAAACUGCGGGCUUGCAAUAUGUUUGUGGUGUGGAGAUGUACGUUUUGUAACCUUGACCUAGAGGAACACACAAAGGACAUUGGUUAAGUGAAUGUGCUGCUGAUCUGGAUAUUAUUUGGCACUGGCAGAAAGUAUGGCGUGUCACUGGAAAGUUGUUCCUUCUUCAAAACACAAAUCACUGUAAAUAAAUUUUUUUAA